This 232-nucleotide ribosomal RNA is filed under the name Bacillus sp. (in: firmicutes). RNAcentral describes it as "Bacillus sp. (in: Bacteria) partial 16S ribosomal RNA". It matches the Rfam family "Bacterial small subunit ribosomal RNA", at positions 119 to 344 of the family's 1533-position model. The record is from RNAcentral. Lineage: Bacteria; Bacillati; Bacillota; Bacilli; Caryophanales; Bacillaceae.
GGGUAACCUGCCUGUAAGAGCGGGAUAACUCCGGGAGACCGGGGCUAAUACCGGAGAAUAAUUUAUUCGCAUGAGGAGAUGUUGAAAGGUGGCUUCUAGCUACCACUUACAGAUGGACUCGCGGCGCAUUAGCUAGCCGGUGAGGUAACGGCUCACCAAGGCCACGAUGCGUAGCCAAGCUGAGAGGGUGAUCGGCCACACUGGGACUGAGACACGGCCCAGACUCCUACGG